AUGGUGAACAACACGAUCCCAAACAACCUUGUUUCAAUAAAAUUUCAACACCACCUUAUCCUAAUCCAAUGCACUGAACCUAAAUAUAGUUCUAAUUCCUUGAGAGAAUCCAUCUAUAUGACUAGAUCUAAGGAUAAUCACAAUGGAAACCUAAUUUCGAAAGUUUGGUUAAACAGAAUUUAG
Molecule: non-coding RNA, 183 nt
Organism: Vicia faba (fava bean)
Lineage: Eukaryota; Viridiplantae; Streptophyta; Magnoliopsida; Fabales; Fabaceae
Source: the annotation of a GenBank genome assembly